Molecule: unclassified non-coding RNA, 345 nt
Filed under: soil metagenome
Description: partial contains 5.8S ribosomal RNA, internal transcribed spacer 2, and large subunit ribosomal RNA
Rfam family: 5.8S ribosomal RNA (bases 1-120)
Source: RNAcentral
GAUGAAGAACGUAGCGAAAUGCGAUACGUAAUGUGAAUUGCAGAAUUCAGUGAAUCAUCGAGUCUUUGAACGCACAUUGCGCCCCCUGGUAUUCCGGGGGGCAUGCCUGUCCGAGCGUCAUUGCUGCCCUCAAGCACGGCUUGUGUGUUGGGCCUCCGUCCUCCUCCCGGGGGACGGGCCCGAAAGGCAGCGGCGGCACCGCGUCCGGUCCCCGAGCGUAUGGGGCUUCGUCACCCGCUCUUGUAGGCCCGGCCGGCGCUUGCCGACACAUCAAUCUUUUUUCCAGGUUGACCUCGGAUCAGGUAGGGAUACCCGCUGAACUUAAGCAUAUCAAUAAGCGGAGGA